Non-coding RNA from Salvia hispanica, 3041 nucleotides. The record is from RefSeq and is a predicted model, not a curated record. Lineage: Eukaryota; Viridiplantae; Streptophyta; Magnoliopsida; Lamiales; Lamiaceae.
GUUUGAUAAAAUGGCCCAACCAAACUUGUGCUCUCUUCUUUCUUUGCUCAGAAUUUGUUAUCAACAACUUAAAUAUGGAAAGUUGAUGCAAGGUUAUGAUAGUUUUUGUUAAAAUGAGAGAAAAGGAAAACAGCAUUGUUAGUUUAGUGUAUAUGUUGUGUGGCUUAUCUGCAUCCUCUCUAGCAAACCCAAAAUUUGCAAGCGGUGAAGAAGCAAUGCGUUGUUUCAGUUGCUAGUCAAUGGCAGGCCGCAGAGAUGGUUACCGACGAAGCUUGAAGCGUUGAAGCGCUGGAGCUGCGUGCCCUCUGGAAUCCUUCCUGUUUAAGUUGUUGUAAGACAAGUCGAGAUAACCCAAUCCAGAUAUGGAUGCAAGACUUCUGGGAAUUCGACCCCAAAGGGAGUUUCUUGAUAGAUCAAGAGAUUCCAACUGCUUCAUUUCUCCAAUAUUUUCGGGGAUCAAACCAUUCAGCUGAUUCCCUGACAAGUUUAAGGAUCCCAACUCCGACAAACUUGUUAACUCAUUUGGGAUUUCUCCGGACAGACUGUUCGCCGAAAGGUCAAUGCUGGUAACCAAGGGAAGAAUGCUGUCGAACUCCAGUUUACCGCCUUUUAUCACUAUCAGUGCGCUCUCUCUGAAUGCUCCUGCGUUGAAAAGGGAUGAAGUUAUGAAUACAUCUCGGUAUCAUGCCUGGGAGUUCAUUGUUGGAGAGAUCCAAUAUCUGGAGAUAGCUCAGCUGGCAAAUGUCUGAAGAUAUCUUACCACUCAUGUUGUUUGAGCACAGUAUCAGAAUCCUCAACUCGACUAGGCUUGUUCCUAUCCACGCCGGUAUGUUCCCUGUAAGAUUGUUAUCUGCAAGCCCCAUCUUCACCAGCUUAAUGCAGUUGUGCAUUGCAAAAGGUAUCUUCCCGGAGAAUCUAUUGUUUUGAAGAUUCAAAGAUUCAAGAUUAGCAAGAAAGCCAAUAGAAGGUGGAAUGCUUCCAUACAUUUGGUUAUUGCCUAGGCUCAGAUAUCUCAACGAAGGCCAUUUGUUCCAACAAUCUGGCAAUUCCCCACUUAAUAGAUUUUCUCCCAGAUGAAGAAUCUCCAACGAAUAUGUUGGAUAUGUCUCAUCACAUAGAAAGUGAGCUAUGCCUCCGGAGAAUGAAUUAUUGGACAAAUCAAGCUCCUUCAAAGUAUCUCCAACUCGAGGCAACAGGCCUUCGAGUUUGUUAGAACUCAAGUAUAUAAACUGGGCAGCGCCACGGACAUCUGGGAGCUCUCCGUGAAGAUGGUUAUGGGAGAGAUUCAAGAACCAAGUAUUCCAGAACCAGCUUGGAACACUACCUGAGAUUCCAGUACCAGCCAGAUUGAGAUAGUGGGAAAGAUUCUUCUGUGUCUCGAGCCAGGAAGGAAUCUUGGAGCUGGAGCCUAAGCCCCAUGAUCCUAGCCCAAGAGAAUUAAGUUGGAAGGGGGGGAUCCAACUUGGGCUUAUAUUCAAACUUAAUUGAUUGGAAGCAGCUGAAAAAACCUCGAGUUUAGUGAGAUUUGCGAAGAGGGAUUCAGUCACUACUCCUUCCAGCUUGUUGUAAAAGAUACAAAUCGAUUCAAGAUUACAAAGUUGGCCCAAACUAUGAGGAAGGUUUUGAGUUAGUUUGUUAUCACCUAAUGCCAAAACUUUCAAAGAUGACAACUUUCCCAUGCUGGCUGGAAUUGGACCAGUUAGUAAAUUCUUGUUGAGAUUAAGAUAUUCAAGACUCUUAAACCCCCUAGUUGAUCUAUCAACUGACCUGAGAUUUGAUUAAACUUCAAAUCUAGGACUUCCAAUGUUUCCAAGAAGCACUCUGACAUAUUUCCAAAUAAAUCAGAUAUAUUUCCUUGGAAAUUAUUGUUGGAUAAGGACAACCUUCUUGUUUUGCACAGGUUAGUAAAUCCUGCUGGAACUGCACCAGUUAGGAAGUUGUAAUCCAAAAUAACAAACUCCAAAUCUAUACAAGAAUAGAGUCAACUUGGCACUGUGGAGUUUAAAAAAUUGAAAGAGAGAUCAAUAUACUUCAGUUUGGUGGCAUUGCUAUUAGCUGGAAUUGGACCUAAGAAAGAGUUGUUCCUUAGAUCAAGAAAAUGAAGAUUGUGAAGCCCAAAUAUCCAUUUUGGGACUUCAGGGGAAUGGAAGUUGUUGGAAGAGAGAUCAAGAAGAGUUAAUGAAGUGAUGUUGAUAUAACUCAGAGAAGAUAUGUAACCAAGACUGCAAUUUUGAAAAUGAAGCUGUUGCAAAGAAGGGAGUGUGUUGAUCACCUGCACCCAAUCUGUAGCUCUGCUGAGGUUCACAAAGUUCAUAUUGAGAUGCUCGAGUCCAGAAAGCCGCGAUAACCAUUCAAGAUUAUCAACUUGUAGCAGGUUUGGAAAGCUUACAUAAGCAGCAAAUUCCAUGUCUGGGUAACCACCAUAAGUUGUGGUGUGAUAGUAGUUUUUGUGACCAGCAGACGCGAUGUUUGGAAAGCCGGCCAUAUCUAGAGUGCGUAGAUAUGAAAGGUUCCCGAUGGUAUGCGGAAUCACCCCAUGAAAUCCAGCAAAAGAGAGGUUGAAAAACUCGAGCUUUGUGAAUGAAGGAAGGUAUUGUUUGUUUGAAGUUGUUGAGACUCAAGUCAAGAUGAAUCAAGUGUUUGAGAUUGAGCAAAGAUGAAUUGAUUUGGCCUCUCAAACUCAAACCACGGAGAUGGAGUUGGUGAACAUGGCCAGUUGAGUUGUUGCAAACUACACCAUUCCAUUUGCAACAGUUGACAUCAUUACCAUCAUCCCAUGAAGAGAGUUGAUGGUAUGGAUCUUGCAAGUAGUGCUUGAAACUUAGGAGGGACUGUUUUUCAAUUUGUGGGCAGAAAAUAAAGUUGCAUUGGCAUAGGUUGAAACAAGUAAUAAGGUAAAAAAUAAGGAAGAAAGAGUGAGCUGCAAUGCUUGGAUUUGAGCUGCCCAUCUUUGUUGUAUUAAGGCAAGGGAUGAUUAGGAAGAUAUAUAGAGACUUUGUGCUUGUAUGACCUUUCUAUUUCCUUUCUAUUAUAAUGCCAAU